UACAGAGACCUCAAGCGUUAUCCGGAAUCAUUGGGCGUAAAGCGUACCGAUAGGUGGUUUAGAAAGUUUUGGGUAAAAGCCAGAAGCUCAACUUCUGAGUUUGCUCAAAAUACUUCUCAACUAGAGGGGCAAAGAGGUUCUUGGAACGAACGGUGUAGUAGUGAAAUGCGUUGAUAUCGUUCGGAACACCGAAAGCGAAGGCAGAGGACUGGGUGCCACCUGACACUACUAGGACGAAAGCGUGGGGAGCGAAUGGG
Molecule: ribosomal RNA, 257 nt
Filed under: uncultured bacterium
Lineage: Bacteria
Description: partial 16S ribosomal RNA
Rfam family: Bacterial small subunit ribosomal RNA
Source: RNAcentral